This 472-nucleotide ribosomal RNA is filed under the name uncultured bacterium. RNAcentral describes it as "bacterial SSU rRNA". It matches the Rfam family "Bacterial small subunit ribosomal RNA", at positions 355 to 825 of the family's 1533-position model. The record is from RNAcentral.
UGGGGAAUAUUGGACAAUGGGCGCAAGCCUGAUCCAGCGACGCCGCGUGUGUGAAGAAGGCCUGCGGGUUGUAAAGCACUUUCGAUGGGAACGAAAUGUGCCGGGUUAAUACCCCGGUAAGCUGACGUUACUCAAUGAAGAAGCACCGGCUAACUCUGUGCCAGCAGCCGCGGUAAUACAGAGGGUGCGAGCGUUAAUCGGAAUUACUGGGCGUAAAGCGCACGUAGGUGGCGACGUAAGUCGGGUGUGAAAGCCCCGGGCUCAACCUGGGAAUUGCAUUCGAGACUGCAUUGCUGGAGUACGGAAGAGGAGGGCGGAAUUCCCGGUGUAGCGGUGAAAUGCGUAGAUAUUUGGAGGAAUACCGGUGGCGAAGGCGGCAUCCUGGACCAUUACUGACGCUGAGGCGCGAAAGCUAGGGGAGCAAACGGGAUUAGAUACCCGCGUAGUCCCUGAGCGGGCUGGCAAGGCGCAU